Small nucleolar RNA from Gracilinanus agilis (Agile Gracile Mouse Opossum), 133 nucleotides. The record is from RefSeq and is a predicted model, not a curated record. Lineage: Eukaryota; Metazoa; Chordata; Mammalia; Didelphimorphia; Didelphidae.
UUGACCCUGAAUCAAGACCAAUAGUUUUUUGGACCCAUUAGUUUCAAACAGGAGCCUAAAAAUGUCAAUUUAUGGUCUUUUGGACAUUUUAGAAUGUUAUAGAGAAUGGUCAGUUCAUUAGGAAGAAGCAGUU